GAGUGGCGAACGGGUGAGUAACGCGUGAGGAACCUGCCUCAAAGAGGGGGACAACAGUUGGAAACGACUGCUAAUACCGCAUAAGCCCACGGCUCGGCAUCGAGCAGAGGGAAAAGGAGCAAUCCGCUUUGAGGUGGCCUCGCGUCCGAUUAGCUAGUUGGUGAGGUAACGGCCCACCAAGGCGACGAUCGGUAGCCGGACUGAGAGGUUGAACGGCCACAUUGGGACUGAGACACGGCCCAGACUCCUACGGGAGGCAGCAGUGGGGAAUAUUGCACAAUGGGGGAAACCCUGAUGCAGCGACGCCGCGUGGAGGAGGAAGGUCUUCGGAUUGUAAACUCCUGUUGUUGAGGAAGAUAAUGACGGUACUCAACAAGGAAGUGACGGCUAACUACGUGCCAGCAGCCGCGGUAAAACGUAGGUCACAAGCGUUGUCCGGAAUUACUGGGUGUAAAGGGAGCGCAGGCGGGAAGACAAGUUGGAAGUGAAAUCCAUGGGCUCAACCCAUGAACUGCUUUCAAAACUGUUUUUCUUGAGUAGUGCAGAGGUAGGCGGAAUUCCCGGUGUAGCGGUGGAAUGCGUAGAUAUCGGGAGGAACACCAGUGGCGAAGGCGGCCUACUGGGCACCAACUGACGCUGAGGCUCGAAAGUGUGGGUAGCAAACAGGAUUAGAUACCCUGGUAGUCCACACUGUAAACGAUGAUUACUAGGUGU
This 714-nucleotide ribosomal RNA is filed under the name uncultured bacterium. RNAcentral describes it as "bacterial SSU rRNA". It matches the Rfam family "Bacterial small subunit ribosomal RNA", at positions 93 to 823 of the family's 1533-position model. The record is from RNAcentral.